GGAGGAAAAGAAAAUAACAAUGAUUCCCUCAGUAACGGCGAGCGAAGAGGGAUAAGCUCAAAUUUUAAAUCUGUUGGGUUCCACUUAACAGAGUUGUAUUUUGAAGAAACGUUUUCUGCGUCCAGGAUUAGCCUAAAUCCUUUGGGAUAAGGUAUCAUGGAGGGUGAGAAUCCCGUUCAUGGUUAAUCUUAAGGAAGCUCUACGAUACGUUUUCCAAGAGUCGAGUUGUUUGGGAUUGCAGCUCAAAAUGGGAGGUAAAUUUCUCCUAAGGCUAAAUAUUGGCGAGAGACCGAUAGCGAACAAGUACCGUGAGGGAAAGAUGAAAAGAACUUUGAAAAGAGAGUUAAACAGUACGUGAAAUUGUUGAAAGGGAAACGAUUGAAGUCAGUCAUACCAACGGGAAAUCAACCUUUUGAGCUYGGUCUCGUGGGUUUUGAAGAGUUUCAAAGCCUUCGGAUUCGCGGGAUUGGGAUCUCUCGGUGUACUUUUUCGUACGGUUAGUCAACAUCGGUUUUGAAUGUCAUAAAAUGACUGGAGGAAUGUAGCUUCGAUCUCGUAUUGAAGUGUUAUAGCCUUUGGUAGAUGUGAUGUUUGAGACCGAGGAUUGCAACGGAUACCCUUCAGGGCUAUUCGUCUGAUCUCUGAUACGUUGCCUUGAUGUUGAAAGCUUGCUUAUGAUGUUAGGGUAUUACGGUCAAAAGGUUAGAACGAAUUACAUUCGUUAAGGAUGUUGACGUAAUGACUUUAAACGACCCGUCUUGA
RNAcentral lists this ribosomal RNA (762 nucleotides) under uncultured Glomeromycotina. Its description in RNAcentral is "eukaryotic LSU rRNA". It matches the Rfam family "Eukaryotic large subunit ribosomal RNA", at positions 52 to 657 of the family's 3401-position model. Lineage: Eukaryota; Fungi; Glomeromycota. The record is from RNAcentral.